RNAcentral lists this transfer RNA (74 nucleotides) under Streptosporangiaceae bacterium NEAU-GS5. It matches the Rfam family "tRNA". From Rfam's summary of the family: Transfer RNA (tRNA) molecules are approximately 80 nucleotides in length. Their secondary structure includes four short double-helical elements and three loops (D, anti-codon, and T loops). The record is from Rfam by way of RNAcentral. Lineage: Bacteria; Bacillati; Actinomycetota; Actinomycetes; Streptosporangiales; Streptosporangiaceae.
GCCGCCGUAGACGAAUGGGAAAGUCGCCACUCCUUCAAAGUGGACAUGUGCGGGUUCGAGUCCCGUCGGCGGUA